Eriocheir sinensis (Chinese mitten crab) is the source of this 2252-nucleotide long non-coding RNA. RefSeq lists it as uncharacterized. NCBI's taxonomy places the organism in Eukaryota, Metazoa, Arthropoda, Malacostraca, Decapoda, Varunidae. The record is from RefSeq and is a predicted model, not a curated record. The transcript is spliced from 2 exons.
UUCCUUAAGACAAAUAUUCUAAAGGCAAAUAUAUAUACAAGCCACAAAGGAGGUUAGUUGGGCUUUCAUGUGUUUUUUCUUCACGUUCAUGGUUCAGAAGCAUUGGCAAACUUCCAUUAGGGUCACAAAACUACCCAUGGAAGUACCCACAACAACCUCUACGAAAGCCUUACCUAAACUGUCACUAGGGUCAUAAAACUACCCAUGGAGGUACCCACAACAACCUCUACGAAAGCCUUACUAAUGUCGGUGUGAGAGUAAUCCCCGAAACGCUUGAGAAUGUGGUCUGGAUUCGUGUCAAGUUGUCUGUAAUCAUUUUGUGUGGCGAAUCAUCGGUGUCUCUGUAUAGAAUCAUCAUCUUAGCAUUUCUUUCUCCCGUCCGUCAACCCUUUCGUCAAGCGGUAGCCUAUUGUGGUCGAAAUCUGUCUUUCCUGUUUGCUUUUGGUUCAGAGUAAAUUUUGGCCACUUUACUUUUGUCCGUUGUGGGAGUGGCAAGUAGCGGGCUUUUUUUUUUAUUCUACACUCUUUUUGUUGCCCUUGAGCCGUCUCCUUUGUUAUAUAAAGAGAACAAAAAGUGUUUGUGUUGGUUGUCGUAGUAGGUUAUGUGAAAAUGUAAUGUUUUUUUCACUUUUUUCGAGUAUUUUCUUUUUCUUUUGUAUAUGAUAUUGCUCGAAAUCCGUCUCCUUUGUUGUAAAAAAAGAAAAAAAGGGUUUGUAUAGGUUAUCGUAGUAGGUUAUGUGAAAAUGUUGUUUUAUUAUUUUUUUCGAGUAUUUUCUUUUUCUUUUGUAUAUGGUAUCGCUCGAAGUCCGUUUCCUUUGUCGUCUCAAUCUUGUAUUAUUAUUGGAAUCUGUCUUGGUCGAGAAGGAAAAUAAUGUUUGUAUUGGUUUGUAUUGGAAGUUUGAGUUACUUUCUUUAUUCCUUCACAAGUUUGUCGCGUUUUUUUUUUCCAUAUAGUAUUGGUCGAAGUCCGUCUCCUUAGUCGUCUCCGCCUUGCAUUAUCAUCGGAAUCUGUCUUGUUCUUUUGCUGUUGGUCGAGAAGAAAAAUAAUGUUUGUAUUGGUUUGUAUUGGAAGUUUGAGUUACUUUCUUUAUCCAUUCACAAGUUUGUCGCGUAUGUUUUCUUUUCCGUAAGGUGUCGCUCGAAGCCCGUCUCCUUGGCGCUGAUGAGAGCCUCUGACUUUGUUAAAAAUAAACAUUAGGUAAUUUAUUUAUUUCACUGCUUAAUCUUUGUGUACAUGUUAAAGAAAUGUAUACGUCUAUUGUCUCCAUUUUAUUUUUUCCUACGCCAAUGUAUGUUUUUUUAAAGUUAUAAAUUUUUGUAUGAUCCAGAAAAGUGCGUCAGUUGCGUUAAUAUUUUUUUUUCUACGCCAUUGUGCUUUUCUGAAAGUUAUACAUUUUUUUAUGAUCCAGAAAUGUGCGUCAGUUGCGUUAAUAUUUUUUUUUCUACGCCAAUGUAUUUUUUCUGAAAGUUAUAAAUUUUUUUAUGAUCCAGAAAAGUGCGUCAGUUGUCUUAAUAUUUUUUUUUCUACGCCAAUGUAUUUUUUCUGAAAGUUAUACAUUUUUUUUAUGAUCCAGAAAUGUGCGUCAGUUGCGUUAAUAUUUUUUUUCCUACGCCAAUGUAUUUUUCUGAAAGUUAUACAUUUUUUUUUAUGAUCCAGAAAUGUGCGUCAGUUGCAUUAAUAUUUGUUUUUCCCUACGCCAAUGUAUUUUUUUUUUAAAGUUAUAAAUUUUUUUAUGAUCCAGAAAUGUGCGUCAGUUGCGUUAAUAUUUUUUUUUCUAUGCCAAUGUAUUUUUUUUUAAAGUUAUAAAUUUUUUUAUGAUCCAGAAAUGUGCGUCAAUUGUCUUAAUAUUUUUUCUACGUCACUAAUCUUUUCUGAAGGCUAUACAUUUUCAUCUUUCAGUUUUAGUUCAUCUUGCCUUUCAACCUAACCUAACCUAACCUAACCUAACCUAACCUAUCUUUCGGCCACUCCUCUUGACUUUUGUAGGAGCAGUGAGUAGAGGUUUUUUUUUCUCAUUAUUGCUUCCUUUUUUUUUGCCCUUGAACUGUUUCCUCUACUGUAAAAAAAAAAAAAAAAAAUGUACAGCUCGGCCAUUUUGUGUCCUUCAUGUUCCAUAUAAUAUCGUGUGUUGCUUCGUUAGUUGUCGAACGUUGCCUGGCAUCACGCUGACACACCACUGUACCCAGCCUUAGGAAUAAUACCACGGUGACCUAACAUCUGUCUAUUUUUUGCUUAAUACAGUUUAAAAGUA